This 322-nucleotide ribosomal RNA is filed under the name uncultured soil bacterium. RNAcentral's name for it is "bacterial SSU rRNA". It matches the Rfam family "Bacterial small subunit ribosomal RNA", at positions 29 to 341 of the family's 1533-position model. The record is from RNAcentral.
AGUGAACGCUGGCGGUAGGCCUAACACAUGCAAGUCGAACGGCAGCACGGUAAGAGCUUGCUCUUAUGGGUGGCGAGUGGCGGACGGGUGAGGAAUACAUCGGAAUCUACCUUUUGGUGGGGGAUAACGUAGGGAAACUUACGCUAAUACCGCAUACGCCCUUCGGGGGAAAGCCGGGGACCAGCAAUGGCCUGGCGCUGAUAGAUGAGCCGAUGUCGGAUUAGCUAGUUGGUGAGGUAAUGGCUCACCAAGGCGACGAUCCGUAGCUGGUCUGAGAGGAUGAUCAGCCACACUGGAACUGAGACACGGGUCCAGACUCCUA